Molecule: long non-coding RNA, 674 nt
Filed under: Physcomitrium patens
Lineage: Eukaryota; Viridiplantae; Streptophyta; Bryopsida; Funariales; Funariaceae
Description: long non-coding RNA (PPAT_LNC003543)
Source: RNAcentral
AAAAAGUUCUAACUCUAAUAUAAUACUAACUAAAUUCUAAUUAGACCAUAACAUUACUAAGCAUGCUUUAAUCAAAUUCAAAGAAACCUCAAAGGAAUUACAAAGAAAUAAUAAGAAAUCUUAAAAAAAUAUUAGAAUACUUACAAACAUAUCUCAAAUACAUCUCAAUUUAAUCUUAAUUUAAUUCUUAUUGAAAUCCUAUUGGACUUCAUUCAAUUUUUAGGCCAAAAACUAACUAAAUCUUAAAUCCUAAACAAACUCAAAUAAAAUCCUAAACCCUAAAUCAAAUCUUGAUCAAACCUUAAUCAAAUCUUAAAUCCUAAACCAAGCUCUAAAUCCUAAACCAAAUCCUAAAUCCUAAAUCAAAUCCUAAACAACCCUAAAUCAAACCCUAAAUCCUAAAUCCUAAUUCUAAAUCAAACCCUAACCCUGAACCAAAUCCUAACCAAAUCCUAAUCUUAAAUAAAAUCUUAACUAAAUCCUAAAUUACAAAUCAAAUCCUAAUCAAAUCCUAAUCCUAAAUCAAAUCCUAACUAAAUCCUUAUCCUAAAUCAAAUCCUAAUCAAACCCUAAACCUUAAAUCAAACCCUAAUAAUUUCUAAAACAAAUUUAAACCUCAAAAACUAAUGAAUGAACCAUUGAUCUUAACUCAAAAUUUGCAAGCUUCUUAAAAA